This 4538-nucleotide long non-coding RNA is filed under the name Canis lupus familiaris (dog). RNAcentral describes it as "lncRNA (ENSCAFG00000054479.1)". The record is from RNAcentral. Lineage: Eukaryota; Metazoa; Chordata; Mammalia; Carnivora; Canidae.
UUUUUUUUUUCUGUUUUUGUCUGGUUUGUUUAUUAAUAUUUGCUUUAUAUAUUUAGGUCCUCCAAUGUUGGGUGUGUAUUUACAAUAGUUAUAUCCUCUUGUUGUAUUGGUCCCUUUAUCAUUAUGUAAUGUCCUUCUUUGUCUCUUAUUAUGGUUUUUGUGGUUUAAGUGUAUUUUGCUUGAUUUAAGUGUUGCUACUUGGGGUUCUAUCUUGGUCACAUCAUCUAAAUCAGUAAUGUCAUCAUUUACCUGAUUUCAAAUAUUACUGCUUACUGAACAUUUUCUGUUGCCAUACCAGUACCAGCCUAUACAAAUUAGUUAUCAGGCUGGUCCUGUGGAUGAGUCCCAUCUACAUGUGGUCUUGCCUCACAGGUUUUUUUUAUACUAUGCAUUUAUCUGCCCUAUUGUCUUGAGAGAAACAGCUUGUAGAGACCAAUUAAUUUCCUUAUCACCUACCUUAGCUGGUUCCUGAUCUAUCCUUCCAUACUGAAAUGAAACCCCUAAAUGCUGAGCACCUAACCACCAUGUUACCACAGAAAUUCAAAAAUAUGAUAUUGACUGCCACAGAGCUCUAUUUAGAAAAAGUAAUUAAUACUAAGAAAUUGCCUGUGGCUCUCCUAAAGGUUAUUUCAACACUAGAUAGAGAUUGGAUUCCUGAACUUGAUAGAAAGAUACACCUUUUGGGAUACCUGGGUGGCUCAGUGUUUGAGCAUCUCCCUUCAGCUCAGGGCAUGGUCUUGGAGUCCCACAUUGGGCUCCCUGCAUGGAGCCUGCUUCUCCUUCCUUUCCCUAUGUCUCUGUCUCUCUCUCUGUGUGUCCCUCGUGAAUAAAUAAAUAAAAUAUUUAAAACAAAAAAAAGAAAGAUACACCUUUAUUAGAAAACUGAAAUUGAAAAGUGAAAAGUGUUGAAGUAGUAAAAGGUUACACACACACACACACACACACACACACACAUAUACUUAAUGCCCUAGAUACAUAGUUUUAACUUUAAAAAGCAUAACGGAGGAAAGAAUAGUAAAUUUACUGUUCUCAUUUCUCACAUUUUCGUAAUGGUUUUCCCACUAACUUUUGAGUAAGCUUUAAUGCCAUGAUUUUGACCAAGACUAUAAUAUGUAAAACUUUUUAAGAUUUCACAACAAAGAGUCAGGUUCAGUAUGGAUAUUUGUGAAAUAAAAUGUCUAGUAAAAAUAAAAAGGGCCUCUCAAAGAUAUUACUAAUCUAACUAUAAAAAUUACUCAACAUUAAAAAAAAUUACCCAACAUUUUACUUUUAGUCAGAAAACUCACACAUACUUACACAAUGUUAACCAUAGAAUAUAAUCCAUCAGAAUCCAGUUAUUUAUAGUAGGACACACCAGAAAGGACUAGAAUCUAAAAUUAGUUCCAUUCCCUGAGGUAGUUCUUAAAAUGUGUUCCGUAGACCACCUGCUUUAUAAUUACCUGGGAAGUCAGUUCAGAAUGCAAAUUCAAGGAACCCACUUCAGACUUCUAGAAUUAGAAUUUCUGGGAUUAGAGCUCUGCAAUAUGAUUUUUUUUUCUAAGAUGCCUUGAUUUUAAGUGCAUGUAAGUCUGAGAAUCACAGCAACAGAAGAAAGCAGGUGAAAAACACUCUGAGCUACAAGUAGGUAUGUUCCUUGUAACAGGCAAUGAAGAAUAUGCAAAAAAAAAAAAAAAAAUGUGGAAACUCAGUCCAAGCAGACAGUUGGCAAGAUGAGGUAGGUAUCCUCCACAAGUGCAUCAAUUCACUUGGGUUUAAAGCUUCACUAAAUGCUUACUUUGUCAAUUGCCAAGUUUUUUAACUCUAUGGCUCAGUUUUUACAUGUAAAAUAAGAAUAAUAAUACUCUAAAUCAUAGAGUGGUUAUGAGGAGCAAACAUUUUAACACAUAUAGACCACUCAGAGCAACAUUCAAUGCAUGAGUUCUCAAUAUAUAUUAGGUCUUACUGAUCACAAAGCAGUUCUCUUGAGAGAUAAAAAUCAUUGCAUCAACUUUGAAAAUGAUUACCCAGUUCUGUGAAACUAUGUAAUGAAAAUACAGUAUUUUACACAUAAAGUGCCACAUGGAUAUUAUAUAUGCUAUUCUUAAUGAUUCAUUAAAUAAAAGCAAUUCAUAUUCUUUUCUCCUAAAAAGUCAACUCUGUGAAAUUACUAUUUUACCAUGUUUGGCUCAGCUGCUAAACAAAAUUUCUCCUAAGAUAUCUCCAUGAGAUAGAAUUUUCCCAUGAAAAUUUGAUCACCAGGUGGAAUUAAUCAAGCUUUAUUUCCACUGGAUAGAAGUUUCUGAAAUCAUUUUCCCAAUGCUUCAUCACAGUCAUAGCUUAGUUUUUUUUUUUUAAUAUUCAUUUCACAGUCAGAAGGCUUAUGACAAAAGAUGUUGCCACAGGAUUUCCAGUACUUUCUAUUGUUUACUUUUUCUGUGGAAAACACUGAAGUGACCUGAGAUAAGCUCUAAUAGAAAGAGUCAAUCUAAAACUACUGGGUCCUUAUCUAUAAAUACUGCACUGCUAACGGAUAAAUAACCAUCAUUAGCCAUAUCCCUGGGCUGUUUCUAAGCAAAAUUGUGAGAUGUAGUUUAUCCAUAACAUCGUAUUUUCCCUUUUGAUAUAUUUCACUUAUGAUGCCUUCUCCAUCUGCCCUUCCUAAUCAAGAUAAUAUUUUUUUGUUCUUAUCUACCCACAAAGCUUGCUGUUACAAUUUUACUCCACUGGAAAUUAUCUGUUCUAUAUUAUAUCAUCCCAUGACCCAGUGUUCCCUAUAAUGGAUCUAAACUGAUGGGCAGCAGUUUUGAAGGACUGUUGCAGUUACCCAUAUCUAGCUAAGAUUUGGGGGGACUAAUUCAUGUCCCUAUAGUUUUCUUAUACCAUACUAUGAAGAGUAAUGGUAAAAAGUAUAAGAGGAUGAAAAAGAUGUUUAAGAGUAGGCAAAUCUCUUAACAACCAUUCAUGACCACCUUAUUGUUCCACACCUGGAAAAGAAAACCUUGGAAAAAGCAAUACACCAAGACCAAAGGUACUUUUAAUAGACUAAUUUUACCAUUCAGACUUUAUCUUUCAUUGGCUCCCACUCUCAUUCAACCCAAUGGUUAGUCAUAAUUUUACCUUUCCUCUUGAAUUUCACUCCUUGACUCUGAGUACAUGAAAAUGAAAGUCAUCGAAUAAAAUUUCUCUCACCUUCCUGCUUUCUAACCUGAAAAGCUCCUGUGCUCCUCCUAGCUAUUCUUCCUUUCCUGAGUAUCAGGGUAAAACAAUAUCUUCCUCUUUUUGAAGGUUGAUAUCUAUACUUAGAUUCUGAGUCCUAUAUAUAUCCAUCUAACUUGAAGCUUUCUUUUUAUCAUUGCCUUCAAAUGGCUUUCUUCUUAUGCUAUGUUCAGUCUUAAAAAUUUCUUCCUUAACUCUGCAUUCAUCCCUACCUCCCUUCCCACAGUAGGGGAAGGGAGGUAGGGAUUGUUUUCUAUCUAAUUUUCUAAUUCCCAACAAUUUGCUUCUAUCUUCCCAUCUGGACAUUUAAACUUUAAUGGUUAUGGCCACCACUGACUUCGACAUUGCCAAAUCCCAUGGACAAAUUUGUAGCAGUUGACAUUAUUGAUUAGCCUUUCCUUCUUAGAACUCUGUCUUUCCUUGGCUUCCAUAACACCAUCUUAAAUAAAAGACAUUUAUUCUUUAAUCUCUUAAUCUCUUAACCUUUAAUCUCUUAAUCUCUUAAUCUCUUUUAUUGGAUAUUUUCAUUCUGCUUAUCCUUAAAAUGCUUUACUUUGGACCCACUUGUAUUUUCACCUUACAUUUCCUUUCUUCUUGUUCCAACCUAUUCCCAUUCCAACCUAUUCCCAUUGUUCCAACCCUAUUCCCAUUUUAUUCUUAUAAAUUUAAAUGUAUAAACUUGAGUCCCAAACCAGAACUUCUAGUCUCAGAUACUUCUAAACUCCACCACCAAGUAUCUAAUAAGCUCACUGUAAUGUCUACCAAAUGUCUAUUUUUCCUGCAGGACAUUUAGUGAUAAAAUACUAUUUAUGAAUCAAGCAUGCCAGAAAUCUGGGAAUCACUUUUGAACCUUCAUACUUUCUUACUUCCCAUAUCCCAUCAGAGCACUGUGUCCUGUCAGUCUAUAUCCCAACGCCAUCUGUAACCUAUUAACUUCCUUCUAUCCCCAUAGCUAACAUUGCCUUAGUACAUAUUAUAUCAUCUCUUCCUUUAAGACAAACCUGUUAAGAAAAUACAUUUUAAAGUAAAAUGAUGAAUUUUAUACAAAUAUAAAAUGAACAUUUAUUAAUGAUUUUAUUUAACUAAUUAAUUAAUGAGGAAACCAAUAAGAUGUUGUAAUAUGGUGAAAGGACAACUCGAAAUAUCACACUUCUGAACCACUGGUUCAGCGGUUGAGCGUCUGCCUUUGUGGGCGUGAUCCCGGAGUCCCAGGAUCAAAUCCUGCAUCAGGCUUCCUGUGUGGAGCCUGCUUCUCCCUCUGCCUAUGUCUCUGCUUCUCUCUCUCUCUCUCUGUGUCUCUCAUGAAUAAAUAAAUAAAAUCUUAAAAAAAAAAAAAAAAAAAA